RNAcentral lists this transfer RNA (62 nucleotides) under Bostrichoidea sp. 4 KM-2017. RNAcentral's name for it is "tRNA-Leu". Lineage: Eukaryota; Metazoa; Arthropoda; Insecta; Coleoptera. The record is from RNAcentral.
AUUAUUUUGGCAGAUUAGUGUAAUAGAUUUAGAAUCUAUAAAUGUAUUUUAUACAAAUAAUA